CCCUUAGAUGUUCUGGGCCGCACGCGCGCUACACUGAUGCAUUCAACAAGCCUAGCCUUGACCGAGAGGUCCGGUUAAUCUUUGAAACUGCAUCGUGAUGGGGCUAGAUUAUUGCAAUUAUUAAUCUUCAACGAGGAAUGCCUAGUAAGCGUGAUUCAUCAAAUCGCGUUGAUUACGUCCCUGCCCUUUGUACACACCGCCCGUCGCUCCUACCGAUUGAAUGUGUUGGUGAGGAGCUCGGAUUGGCAGCAGUUGGUGGUUCGCCACCGGCUAUUGCUGAGAAGUCCUCCAAACCGCCCCAUUUAGAGGAAGGAGAAGUCGUAACA
Molecule: ribosomal RNA, 326 nt
Filed under: uncultured eukaryote
Lineage: Eukaryota
Description: partial 18S ribosomal RNA
Rfam family: Eukaryotic small subunit ribosomal RNA
Source: RNAcentral